Molecule: ribosomal RNA, 250 nt
Filed under: uncultured bacterium
Lineage: Bacteria
Description: partial 16S ribosomal RNA
Rfam family: Bacterial small subunit ribosomal RNA
Source: RNAcentral
UACGGAGGAUCCGAGCGUUAUCCGGAUUUAUUGGGUUUAAAGGGUGCGUAGGCGGGGGAUUAAGUCAGCGGUGAAAGUUUGGCGCUCAACGUUAAAAUUGCCGUUGAUACUGGUUCCCUUGGGUUCGGUCGAGGCAGGCGGAACGUGGCGUGUAGCGGUGAAAUGCUUAGAUAUGCCACAGAACACCGAUUGCGAAGGCAGCUUGCUAGAGCGAUACCGACGCUGAUGCACGAAAGCGCGGGGAUCGAAC